Molecule: ribosomal RNA, 253 nt
Filed under: uncultured bacterium
Lineage: Bacteria
Description: partial 16S ribosomal RNA
Rfam family: Bacterial small subunit ribosomal RNA
Source: RNAcentral
UACGGAGGGGGCUAGCGUUGCUCGGAAUGACUGGGCGUAAAGGGCGCGUAGGCGGAUUGCUUUGUCGGGCGUGAAAUUCCAGGGCUUAACCUUGGGGCUGCGUUCGAGACGGGUGAUCUUGAGUUCGGAAGAGGGUCGUGGAAUUCCCAGUGUAGAGGUGAAAUUCGUAGAUAUUGGGAAGAACACCGGUGGCGAAGGCGGCGACCUGGUCCGAGACUGACGCUGAGGCGCGAAAGCGUGGGGAGCAAACAGG